ACUGGCGGUCAGAGCGAGGGGGUUACACCCGUACCCAUCCCGAACACGGAAGUAAAGUCCCUCAGCGAUCCGGUCGGUACUGCCUUACAGGCGGGAGUUCCGGGACGCUGCCAGAC
This 116-nucleotide ribosomal RNA is filed under the name Candidatus Nanohaloarchaea archaeon. Lineage: Archaea; Methanobacteriati; Methanobacteriota; Candidatus Nanohaloarchaea. The record is from RNAcentral.